CAGUAGCCGCGGGAAUGCGUAGGGUGCAAGCGUUAAUCGGAAUUACUGGGCGUAAAGCGUGCGCAGGCGGUUCGUUAAGACAGAUGUGAAAUCCCCGGGCUUAACCUGGGAACUGCAUUUGUGACUGGCGGGCUAGAGUAUGGCAGAGGGGGGUAGAAUUCCACGUGUAGCAGUGAAAUGCGUAGAGAUGUGGAGGAAUACCGAUGGCGAAGGCAGCCCCCUGGGCCAAUACUGACGCUCAUGCACGAAAGCGUGGGGAGCAAACAGGAUUAGAUACCCGAGUAGUCCCUGUCUCUUAUAC
RNAcentral lists this ribosomal RNA (301 nucleotides) under uncultured bacterium. RNAcentral's name for it is "partial 16S ribosomal RNA". It matches the Rfam family "Bacterial small subunit ribosomal RNA", at positions 509 to 807 of the family's 1533-position model. The record is from RNAcentral.